GGCGAAAGCUGACGCAGCACGCCGCGUGAGGGACGAAGGCUUUCUGAGUUGUAAACCUCUUUCGGUAGGAACGAUUGUGACGGUACCUACAGAAGAAGCACCGGCCAACUAUGUGCCAGCAGCCGCGCGUGAUACAUAGGGUGCAAGCGUUAUUCGGAUUUAUUGGGCGUAAAGAGCUCGUAGGCGGUUCGAUCAGUCGGGUGUGAAACCCCCAGGCUUAACCUGGGGCAGCCAUCCGAAACUGUGAUGACUAGAGUUUGGUAGGGGAUCACGGAAUUCCUGGUGUAGCGGUGGAAUGCGCAGAUAUCAGGAGGAACACCAGUAGCGAAGGCGGUGAUCUGGGCCAAUACUGACGCUGAGGAGCGAAAGCGUGGGGAGCGAACAGGAUUAGAUACCCUGGUAGUCCACGCCGUAAACGGUGGGCACUAGGUGUGGGGACUUUUCAACGGUUUCCGCGCCGCAGCUAACGCAUUAAGUGCCCCGCCUGGGGAGUACGGUCGCAAGACUAAAACUCAAAGAAAUUGACGGGGGCCCGCACAAGCAGCGGAGCAUGUGGCUUACUUCGAUGCAACGCGAACAACCUUACCUAGGUUUGACAUGUUGGGAAAAGCUGCCGAGAUGCAGCGUCCUUCGGGGGCCA
This 640-nucleotide ribosomal RNA is filed under the name uncultured bacterium. RNAcentral describes it as "bacterial SSU rRNA". It matches the Rfam family "Bacterial small subunit ribosomal RNA", at positions 374 to 1030 of the family's 1533-position model. The record is from RNAcentral.